GUUGUUUAACAGGGUCAGUCAUAGUAGUAUGAUAGGUGUUGUUUAACAGGGUCAGUCAUAGUAGUAUGAUAGGUGUUGUUUUACCGGGUCAGUCAUAGUAGUAUGAUAGGUGUUGUUUAACAGGGUCAGUCAUAGUAGUAUGAUAGGUGUUGUUCUACAGGGUCAUAGUAGUAUGAUAGGUGUUGUUUUACAGGGUCAGUCAUAGUAGUAUGAUAGGUGUUGUUUUACAGGGUCAUAGUAGUAUGAUAGGUGUUGUUUUACAGGGUCAGUCAUAGUAGUAUGAUAGAUGUUGUUUUACAG
This is a long non-coding RNA of Oncorhynchus tshawytscha (Chinook salmon), 300 nucleotides long. The record is from Ensembl. Lineage: Eukaryota; Metazoa; Chordata; Actinopteri; Salmoniformes; Salmonidae.